CAUGUGGUCCGGAGCCAGAGGGUUAUCCACGUAGUGUUUCGACACAAUCUUUCCCGACAGGGCCCUCCUUCCCUCUGGCACUCACUUGACCACAU
Non-coding RNA from Nippostrongylus brasiliensis, 95 nucleotides. Lineage: Eukaryota; Metazoa; Nematoda; Chromadorea; Rhabditida; Heligmosomidae. The record is from Rfam.